This 757-nucleotide ribosomal RNA is filed under the name uncultured Amanita. RNAcentral's name for it is "partial 28S ribosomal RNA". It matches the Rfam family "Eukaryotic large subunit ribosomal RNA", at positions 216 to 962 of the family's 3401-position model. The record is from RNAcentral. Lineage: Eukaryota; Fungi; Basidiomycota; Agaricomycetes; Agaricales; Amanitaceae.
GAAUCCCGUCUUUGACAUGGACCACCAGCGCAUUGUGGUUGUGCUCUCAACGAGUCGAGUUGUUUGGGAAUGCAGCUCUAAAUGGGUGGUAAAUUCCAUCUAAAGCUAAAUAUUGGCGAGAGACCGAUAGCGAACAAGUACCGUGAGGGAAAGAUGAAAAGAACUUUGGAAAGAGAGUUAAACAGUAUGUGAAAUUGUUGAAAGGGAAACGUUUGAAGUCAGUCGCGUUGGUUGGGGAUCAGCCUGACAUUGUUGGGUUUACUUCCUGGUCGACGGGCCAACAUCAGUUUUGACUGCCAGAAAAAGGCCAAAGGAAUGUGGCACCUUUGGGUGUGUUAUAGCCCUUGGUCGUAUAUGGUGGUUGGGACUGAGGAAAGCAGCGUGCCGAAAGGCCGGGUUUCGACCACGUUCACGCUGAGGAUGUUGGCAUAAUGGCUUUAAGCGACCCGUCUUGAAACACGGACCAAGGAGUCUAACAUGCAUGCGAGUGUUUGGGUGGAAAACCCUUACGCGUAAUGAAAGUGAAAGUUGAGAUCCCUGUCGCGGGGAGCAUCGACGCCCGGACCAGAACUUUUGGGACGGAUCUGCGGUAGAGCACGUAUGUUGGGACCCGAAAGAUGGUGAACUAUGCCUGAAUAGGGUGAAGCCAGAGGAAACUCUGGUGGAGGCUCGUAGCGAUUCUGACGUGCAAAUCGAUCGUCAAAUUUGGGUAUAGGGGCGAAAGACUAAUCGAACCAUCUAGUAGCUGGUUCCUGCC